ACAAACUUGGUCAUUUAGAGGAAGUAAAAGUCGUAACAAGGUCUCCGUUGGUGAACCAGCGGAGGGAUCAUUACAGAGUUGUACUAAACUCCAAACCCUAUGUGAACUUACCACUGUUGCCUUGGCGUGUGCCGCGUGCUACCUUGUAGCACGCACUACGGCCCGCCAAAGGACCACUAAACUCUUUGUUUUUACUGUGAAAUAUCUGAAUGCUUCAAAACUUAAUAAGUUAAAACUUUCAACAACGGAUCUCUUGAUUCUGGCAUCGAUGAAGAACGCAGC
This 282-nucleotide unclassified non-coding RNA is filed under the name uncultured fungus. Its description in RNAcentral is "partial contains small subunit ribosomal RNA, internal transcribed spacer 1, and 5.8S ribosomal RNA". The stretch from base 1 to 73 matches the Rfam family "Eukaryotic small subunit ribosomal RNA", at positions 1759 to 1831 of the family's 1831-position model. The record is from RNAcentral. Lineage: Eukaryota; Fungi.